This 4367-nucleotide unclassified non-coding RNA is filed under the name Hevea brasiliensis (rubber tree). The record is from RNAcentral. Lineage: Eukaryota; Viridiplantae; Streptophyta; Magnoliopsida; Malpighiales; Euphorbiaceae.
GUUAAAGCUACUUUUUUUUUCAACACUGCAUUUCACUUUCCAUUUCUCUCUUCUUCUUCCUCUGUCUCAGCCGCUUUCUCCGCCAAUCACUGCUCUCUAUUCUGUCUCCCUCCAAAAAUAGCUGCUUUUAUCUUCUCUCCUAUGCCUGCAUAAACACUAAAGCCCAGCUUCUUGUUUUCCCUCAUUUUUUAUUUUUCUUUUCUGCACUCUGCGCACCUCUCUGCACUGCUUCGCAGAGAAUUCAAAAGAAAUUUUCUCUUAUUUUUUCUCAGCUUAGACGAAUAUUAUAUAAAAUGAAGAAACGCCAUCUAGAUCCUACAUUUGUUUUUCUUUUCUUCCUCUGUCUUCUCUCUGCUGCACAAGCUCAGAGCGAGGACACCGCAGUGAUGGUUAAACUCAGAGAUAGCCUUGGUGACUCGAAAAGUUUAGGGUGGUCUGGUUUUGACCCAUGUAACUGGAAACAAGUCUCAUGCGAUGGUAGCAAGCGGGUGACCGGCAUCCAAAUCGGCAACCAGAACCUUGAGGGCACUCUUCCUCCAGAACUAAAAAAUCUGACGGCUUUGGUGAAGCUUGAGGUAAUGGGCAACAAGUUAAAGGGUCCAGUACCGAGUCUUUCUGGGUUAAGCUCGCUUCAAGAAGUCCUUUUACAUAAUAAUGGUUUCACUUCAUUUCCUUCCGAUUUCUUUGACGGGAUGACGUCGUUAAUGUCUGUGAGUCUGGAUUAUAAUCCAUUUCAACCCUGGGAGAUACCUUCCAGUCUUAGAAGUGCCACUGCCUUGAAGGAUUUCUCUGCUAAUGGGGCUAAUAUAACUGGCACAAUCCCUGAUUUUUUCAACAAUGAUGUGUUUCCUGGACUGGAAAGUCUGCAUUUGGCAAUGAAUUUUUUGGAGGGUGUACUGCCAGCGAAUUUUUCACAGGCAUCUUUUAUUACUUCCCUUUGGCUCAAUAGCCAAAAGAGUAAUUCCCGACUCAAUGGUACAAUUACUGUCUUACAAAACAUGACUAGUUUGACGGAGAUUUGGUUACAUAGUAAUCAGUUCACCGGUCCAUUACCGGAAUUUACUGGGUUUAAUGGGUUAGAGAAAGUGAGUUUAAGGGAUAAUCAGCUUACUGGUAUUGUUCCGGCAUCACUUGUGAACCUUCCCACACUUUCUGUUGUCAAUUUGACUAAUAAUCUGCUUCAGGGGCCAACACCAAAAUUUCCUAGUCAAGUUAUUGGGGAUAUGAAUGACGGUUCUAAUAGAUUUUGCCUACCUACUCCUGCUUCCUGUGACCAUCGUGUUGAUGUUCUGUUAUCAAUUGUGAGAGACUUUGGAUACCCUGCUAGUUUAGCUGAGAGUUGGGAAAGUAAUGACCCUUGCGCACAGUGGAAAGGCAUUUCAUGUUCACCUGAAGGGAACAUUACGGUUAUCAACUUCCACAAUAUGGAGCUUACUGGUACAAUUUCUCCAAGUUUUUCACUGAUUCCUUCAUUGCAAAAAUUGAUUUUGGCAGAUAAUUUGCUUACUGGUACUAUACCAACUGAGCUUGCAACUCUGCCUAGUCUUACUUCAUUAAACGUUGCAAACAAUAGGCUAUAUGGUAAGGUACCUAGUUUCAGUCAAACAGAAGUGAUAACUUCUGGAAACCCUGAUAUUGGAAAGGAUCAUAGUAGCUUCCCCCCAACUAGUACGCCUCCUGGGACACCCAACACACCUGGCAAAGAUGGAGGAGGUGGUUCUGAUGGAAGUGGUGGUAAGAAUUCUAGUAAGGGAAAGAUUGUGGGUUCUGUAAUUGGUGUUGUUUGUGGAUUAUGUAUCAUUGGACUGGGUGUGCUUUUCUUUAGAAGGAAACGGAAACAAUACAGUAGGGUACAGAGUCCAAAUAUGAUGGUUAUUCAUCCUGGCCAUUCUGGAGAUCAGGAUGCUGUGAAAAUUACUGUUGCCGAAUCAAGCACCAAUGGUACUGUUGAGAGCUAUACUGAUAGUGGUGGACUUAGUGACAUUCAUGUAGUUGAUACUGGGAAUAUGGUGAUUUCAAUUCAAGUUUUGAGAAAUGUGACUAACAAUUUCAGCGAAGAGAACAUACUAGGAAGAGGAGGAUUUGGGACUGUUUACAAGGGAGAACUGCAUGAUGGGACAAAAAUCGCAGUAAAGAGAAUGGAAUCUGGAGUGAUGAGUGAAAAGGGUCUGGCAGAGUUCAAGUCUGAGAUUGCGGUGCUCACUAAGGUCCGGCAUCGGCACUUAGUUGCACUACUUGGAUAUUGCUUGGAUGGAAAUGAGAGACUUCUUGUUUAUGAAUAUAUGCCUCAGGGGACACUUAGUAGAUAUCUCUUUAAUUGGAAGGUGGAGGGGUUGAAACCACUUGAAUGGACUAGAAGAUUGACCGUAGCCUUGGAUGUUGCCAGGGGUGUUGAAUAUCUGCAUGGACUAGCACAUCAAAGUUUUAUUCACAGGGAUCUGAAGCCUUCCAACAUUCUUCUUGGAGAUGAUAUGCGGGCCAAGGUUGCAGAUUUUGGACUCGUUCGUCUUGCUCCAGAUGGGAAAGCCUCAAUUGAAACAAGACUAGCUGGAACUUUUGGGUAUCUUGCACCAGAAUAUGCUGGUAACUCAUCUUUAAAUUUCAUGAUUCAUUUUAUGUGAUCAGAGUAAGUAUUUUGUUCCUUGCAUUUAUUAUAACCAAAAAGAGAACAAGAAUUGAGUAUCAAGUUUUGUGCCAUAAGCAUAUAGACAAACAUCAUGUUUUGAGAAGGCAUAACAGAGAAAGCAAUAAUCUUAAUCUCCCCUGCAAUCUUUACUUGAUGAUCUAUAAUAACAAUGCAGUCCUAUUUCUAUGUAUGGAACAUGAAUACUUCAACAAAUAAUUUUGUUUUAGUUCAGGUUAAAGAUUAAGUUUUAACAUGCUUAACUGGAAUUUUUUUAAUGCCUUGGCAGCGACUGGACGAGUGACUACCAAGGUUGAUGUGUUUAGCUAUGGUGUGAUACUAAUGGAGAUGAUCACCGGAAGAAAAGCUCUUGAUGAUACCCAGCCCGAGGAUCGCUUGCACCUUGUUACUUGGUUCCGUAGGAUGCACACCAACAAGGACACAUUCCGCAAGAGUAUUGACCCAACUAUUGAGCUUGACGAGGAGACCCUUGCCAGCAUUAGCACAGUUGCUGAGCUAGCUGGCCACUGUACUGCAAGAGAACCCUACCAGAGGCCUGACAUGGGUCAUGUGGUUAAUGUUCUUUCAUCUCUUGUUGAGCUGUGGAAACCAGCAGAACCAGAUUCUGAUUACUUGUAUGGGAUUGACCUUGAAAUGACCUUGCCUCAGGCACUCAAGAAGUGGCAAGCACUUGAGGGAAGCAAUUUGGAUUCCUCUUCUUCACUUGCUACUAGUGGGGAUAAUACACAAACCAGUAUACCCACUCGACCAUAUGGCUUUGCGGAAUCAUUUACAUCAUCAGAUGGACGGUAAAUGAAGAAAAGAAAAAGUUUGAGAUAUGAUGAGAUGCCUUUAAUUAUGUUUCGUUUAUUCUUCUGCUUGUUCUUGUAAGGUUUGCCCUCUCUAUAUGAAUAUUUUGUUUGCUCAUGCUCUCUUCCCCUCCCCCCUCUAUCUUUCCCUCUCUCUCCCCAAGUAGGUUGAAAAAAUUUUACAUUUUUCUGUGCUCCUUUAGAGGCUAGGAAUUGCAAACAGAGAGAUAGUCCUCAAGAAUGGGAUUACCUUUAUUUGUCAUCUUUUCAUUUCUUUUGUUUCUUUUCAUGUCUCCUUGAUAUCUGAUUUACAUUUAGUUCAGCAUCUCCCUUUUGUUUUACAAGAUUCCUAGCAUAAAACUUUUGCAUUGCAGCCCAUAGUUGAACAUAAUCCUAUUUCGUAAAGCGGAUGCCAAGGACCCUAUGUGGUUAAUGAGAUGUAAAUUGUUUAAAGAUGCCAACUUUUAUUUUGUUUAUUCCAGGAGAUCAUUACAUUGAACAAAUUUUAUGUACGUAUAGCUUUACUGCUUGGGAUCCGUCAUAAAAGCUAUGGUUAUGCAAUCUAUUUCUAACCACUGAUAUGAGAAUGUUUUGUUCUAGAAAUGAUGGAGGAGCCAAUUUGCAUUCACCUAUGCAUGUGAGCUACAGUUUUUUGCAUGUUGUGGAUUGAGCAGGUCAAUCAGACCUAUUGAUUGGUUCACACUUGUGGGAUUCAAUGGUCCAUCGUGGACAUCACUUCUUGAUGAUAAAAGGAAGUUCUUAAUUCUAUAUAUAAUUAUAUAUUCAGUGUUUUAGGUGGAGGGUAUAACGUAAAAUUGAUUGAUUUGAGACUGCGUGAACAGUUCAUCCAAUGUCGUUUAUGUGACGAGACAAGUCAAUGCCGUAUGUCAGGCGUGGAGCGGCUGUAUGGUAUGCAUGCCAGCUGCAAAUCUUUG